UGCUUUAGUAAUUAUCGGUUGCUAUAAUUGUAGGCAAUAUUCUGUCUGUCUUGUUCACGUAUUUAUAUACCGGGUCUUGCUUAAAUUCAGCAUCUAACUUACCUACAAAGUAUCUGUGACAAUACCCUGAAGAUAAUUUCAAGGUCGUUAAUUCAGUUUUUGCGUGUCAAUAUCUAUUUCUUAUAUUAUGUAUAUGAUGUUUUAAGCGACAUCAAGACGAAUUGAAGAUAACUUUGCAAUGACGUCGUAUGUAGCGUUGGUAACUUUUCAAAAUCUUCGGUUGUAAUAGAAAUAAUUUAACACUUUGAAAUCACACGUUUCGUUGAGGACGCCACGGGAGUAUUUUUAUUAUUCAAAGCAUAUAAUGGCAAAAUAAUAAUAAAUUGAUGAUGUAAGAUAACGUUCUUCCCCAAUGGACCGUUUAUCUUAUUGGUACAAGCAAAACGUGCAGAAUAUAUUUUUGAAGCGUGUAGAAGAUAUUAGUAAACAUAUUUACGAUUAUUUUUAUGAUUUCGACAAAACAUUCGGCUGAAAUGGUAGAGGUCCGGAAAAAAUUAUGUUUGCGAUAAAGCAAUGGUAGUGGUAGAUUACAACAGAGGAAAAUGUGCUGUAGAUUUAUCAGAGCAAAUGGUAGCAUAUUCUACAGCACAUAGAAGAACCCUCAAGUGAUAUAUAAAAUUAGCUUUAGAGUUAUUGUUAAAUACAUCAAUUUCAAACGCGAUGGUACUCUAUAAAUGAGCAAGAAAAACAAAAAUCAAGGUAUCAGCUUUUAGAAUGGCACUCGCGACGCACC
Long non-coding RNA from Bombus pascuorum, 793 nucleotides. RefSeq lists it as uncharacterized. The record is from RefSeq and is a predicted model, not a curated record. NCBI's taxonomy places the organism in Eukaryota, Metazoa, Arthropoda, Insecta, Hymenoptera, Apidae. The transcript has 3 exons.